GAUGAACGCUGGCGGCGUGCCUAAUACAUGCAAGUCGAGCGAACAGACGAGGAGCUUGCUCCUCUGACGUUAGCGGCGGACGGGUGAGUAACACGUGGAUAACCUACCUAUAAGACUGGGAUAACUUCGGGAAACCGGAGCUAAUACCGGAUAAUAUAUUGAACCGCAUGGUUCAAUAGUGAAAGACGGUUUUGCUGUCACUUAUAGAUGGAUCCGCGCCGCAUUAGAUAGUUGGUAAGGUAACGGCUUACCAAGGCAACGAUGCGUAGCCGACCUGAGAGGGUGAUCGGCCACACUGGAACUGAGACACGGUCCAGACUCCUAAGGGAGGCAGCAGUAGGGAAUCUUCCGCAAUGGGCGAAAGCCUGACGGAGCAACGCCGCGUGAGUGAUGAAGGUCUUCGGAUCGUAAAACUCUGUUAUGAGGGAAGAACAAAUGUGUAAGUAACUAUGCACGUCUUGACGGUACCUAAUCAGAAAGCCACGGCUAACUACGUG
This 497-nucleotide ribosomal RNA is filed under the name uncultured bacterium. Its description in RNAcentral is "partial 16S ribosomal RNA". It matches the Rfam family "Bacterial small subunit ribosomal RNA", at positions 28 to 507 of the family's 1533-position model. The record is from RNAcentral.